GCCCCGUUCGUCUAGCGGCCCAGGACACCGCCCUCUCACGGCGGCAGCACCGGUUCAAAUCCGGUACGGGGUACCA
RNAcentral lists this transfer RNA (76 nucleotides) under Actinomyces sp. Its description in RNAcentral is "tRNA-Glu". It matches the Rfam family "tRNA". Rfam says of the family: Transfer RNA (tRNA) molecules are approximately 80 nucleotides in length. RNAcentral also lists the same sequence under 5 other names. The record is from RNAcentral. Lineage: Bacteria; Bacillati; Actinomycetota; Actinomycetes; Actinomycetales; Actinomycetaceae.